GAUGAAGAACGCAGCGAAAUGCGAAAAGUAGUGUGAAUUGCAGAAUUCAGUGAAUCAUCGAAUCUUUGAACGCACAUUGCGCCCCUUGGUAUCCCGAGGGGCAUGCCUGUUCGAGCGUCAUUUCACCACUCAAGCCUGGCUUGGUGUUGGGCGACGUCCUCUUUGGGGACGCGCCUCGAAACGCUCGGCGGCGUGGCACCGGCUUUAAGCGUAGCAGAAUCUUUCGCUUUGGAAGUCGGGGCCCCGUCUGCCGGAAGACCUGCUCGCAAGGUUGACCUCGGAUCAGGCAGGGAUACCCGCUGAACUUAAGCAUAUCAAUAAGCGGAGGA
RNAcentral lists this unclassified non-coding RNA (329 nucleotides) under soil metagenome. RNAcentral describes it as "partial contains 5.8S ribosomal RNA, internal transcribed spacer 2, and large subunit ribosomal RNA". The stretch from base 1 to 120 matches the Rfam family "5.8S ribosomal RNA", at positions 35 to 154 of the family's 154-position model. The record is from RNAcentral.